This is a long non-coding RNA of Saimiri boliviensis boliviensis (Bolivian squirrel monkey), 1208 nucleotides long. RefSeq lists it as uncharacterized. NCBI's taxonomy places the organism in Eukaryota, Metazoa, Chordata, Mammalia, Primates, Cebidae. The record is from RefSeq and is a predicted model, not a curated record.
CGGAGUCCAGUUUCAGAGCCCGGGAACUUCCUGGGCUGGGAUAGGCCCUGCGUGUGACCGUAGGAGGAGCUGGACUUCCCGGAGGAACGCCUGGAGCAGAGGAGAAGAGACGAGGAGCCCAGAGUCACCUUGUGGGAGGGAACGCUGAGAGUCGGAGACGAGGCAGAGGGCACAGACGCUCCCGGUUUCCGCAUCAGGGGCUCUGAGGCCAGCAGGGAGGGGCUGCGUGGUGAGAAGCCAGCUGUGCCUGAGCUGGUGUUAAGUCAGGUUGACAGCACGUGACCCCGCCACCUGCCACAGACUCGAUGGCCAGCCCUCCUCAGAACCGUCGAGGUCAUCAAGGGAAAGGGAAGUGGGAGAAAGUGUCACAGCCAAGAGGAGCUGAAGGAGAGUGAGGAUGGAAGGUGACGUGGGAUCCGGGGUGAGGUCCUGUCACAGGACAGGGAGCUGAGGGAGAGUUGGGGAAUCCGAGCCAGCUAGGGGCUUGCUAACCUCGGGAACCUGCUGGCUCAUCCAUUAGGGCGGGUGAGCCUCUCCCGAGGAGGAACGGGACACAGGCCCGGGGUGCAUGGAUGGCUCCAGACUUCUUCGAAAGUUUUCCAUACGUCAAAGCCUGUUCUAAAAUAAUAAGUGUAUUUUAAAGAAAGAAAGGAACACAGAAAUACUUCCCAGUGCAGCAGCCCUGUGGCGACAACUCAGGCCCCCGUGACAACCGCUCUCUGAGAAGUCCGUGUCCCCACAGCCGGCAACAGGUGCCCUGCUGGCACCGCAGAUCAGAUGGGCACCGUCUCCCGGCCCAGCCCGGGCAGAGCCUUCCUAACCGUCCUGGCUGCCCUGGCCUGAUGACUCAGCUGAGUAGGGGCCCUGGGCAGUGCUCGGGACAUCCCUGCCCUCCUCCCUAGAGCCAGUUCACAGGCCAGGCUGGAGGGUCUGGUUCUUAGACCCUCUAGGCCAGGGAUCCCCUCUUCGAUGUGGGGAAACUGAGGCACGGGGGAGUUGCCUGACCAUCCACCAGGAUGUGCACGCCCCCGCCCCCCCGCCCGGGCACAGACUUGGCCUCCUGCACCCCGGCACCUGGGGCAGCCACAGCUCAGAGCUGCGAGGCGGUGUCCGAGCUCUGGGACCCUGUACAGGAGGGAGUCGGGGCAGGAGCCUAAACCUCACCAUGGCCCAGGGAGACCAGGCCCGGGGACACGGAGGCCUCCUCA